CCUACGGGUGGCAGCAGUGAGGAAUAUUGGUCAAUGGACGAGAGUCUGAACCAGCCAAGUAGCGUGAAGGAUGACUGCCCUAUGGGUUGUAAACUUCUUUUAUAUGGGAAUAACAUGUUCCACGUGUGGGGUUUUGUAUGUACCAUAUGAAUAAGGAUCGGCUAACUCCGUGCCAGCAGCCGCGGUAAUACGGAGGAUCCGAGCGUUAUCCGGAUUUAUUGGGUUUAAAGGGAGCGUAGGCGGAUUGUUAAGUCAGUUGUGAAAGUUUGCGGCUCAACCGUAAAAUUGCAGUUGAAACUGGCAGUCUUGAGUACAGUAGAGGUAGGCGGAAUUCGUGGUGUAGCGGUGAAAUGCUUAGAUAUCACGAAGAACUCCGAUUGCGAAGGCAGCUCGCUGGACUGCAACUGACACUGAGGCUCGAAAGUGUGGGUAUCAAACAGGAUUAGAUACCCUAGUAGUC
RNAcentral lists this ribosomal RNA (460 nucleotides) under uncultured bacterium. RNAcentral describes it as "partial 16S ribosomal RNA". It matches the Rfam family "Bacterial small subunit ribosomal RNA", at positions 338 to 795 of the family's 1533-position model. The record is from RNAcentral.